UACGGGGGGGGGCAAGCGUUAAUCGGAAUUACUGGGCGUAAAGCGUGCGCAGGCGGUUAUGUAAGACAGGUGUGAAAUCCCCGGGCUUAACCUGGGAAUUGCGAUGGAGACUGCAAGGCUAGAAUCUGGCAGAGGGGGGUAGAAUUCCACGUGUAGCAAUGAAAUGCGUAGAUAUGCGGAGGAACACCGAUGGCGAAGGCAAUCCCUGGCCUGCACUGACGCUCAUGCACGAAAGCGUGGGGAGCAAACAGG
Molecule: ribosomal RNA, 252 nt
Filed under: uncultured bacterium
Lineage: Bacteria
Description: partial 16S ribosomal RNA
Rfam family: Bacterial small subunit ribosomal RNA
Source: RNAcentral